RNAcentral lists this long non-coding RNA (1002 nucleotides) under Solanum tuberosum (potato). RNAcentral describes it as "long non-coding RNA (STUB_LNC000828)". Lineage: Eukaryota; Viridiplantae; Streptophyta; Magnoliopsida; Solanales; Solanaceae. The record is from RNAcentral.
CCCCCCCCCCCCCCCCCCCAGAAAUUCGAACCCUGAUUCUCCCCUUAUAUAUAAUCGCUUCCUGUUCAGAAAAAAGGGAGGGUGGAGAAAAAUAUUGGAAAGUCAGGAGUUUGUUUUUUCUUUUUGGAAAAUUUUGAAUCAAGGAAAAAGGAUAAGACACAGGGAAAUACAUAAGUUUCUUUGAGGCUGAAAUAGACACUAAAAUCAACUAGUGUUUUAAAGAGCAUCUCAUUUCCAGUUUCUUCUUUCGAACACGACCCUCCCGCUGCUCGUUGGAACUCUUUAAGUUGCUGGUGGUGGAAUAGAACGCUCCAAACUCGUCCUGUCCCGUUUACUGCCCUCGAGAAGGUAAUAUUUCAUUUUUUGAUUUUAGUUUCUUUCGUCGUGAGCUAAUAGUUGCAUAAGUUUAUGGUUUGGUGUUGUAAUGUUUUUGAUCAGCUGAUUCGAGGACUGCUUGUUUCUUGAUUGUUGCGAGUCAUUCGAAAUGUUAGAAUUUUGAGAAUAUUCUGACUUAUUGUUGGUUGCAAAUCGGUAGUGUAAACUUAUUUGUCUAUUCAAAUGAUCUUUUGGUCUUGGUGUUUCCAUUUGGUAUCGAGUUGACUCAUAUAAGCUAAUAUCUUUUAUUUCUAUGUUAAUCUCAUUAUGUCGCCUGUGGUUCGUAGUUCCAUUAUGAAUUUUCGGUUCAACUUUAUCUGCUUCUCUUUAGCGUUUCAGUUCUUGCUUAAGGCUGAAUAGCAGCGUUUGGGUUUAUGUUGUUGGUUGUUAUUUUAUAAAGCCGAACUUAUGGAAUUAUCAAGUUUCUUUUUAGCUAUCAGUGAGCCAUCUCGGGGAUUGUCAAUACUUGUCGCAAAAUCGAUUCAAUAUUUUGGUGUACCUCGAUGCUUAUCGUAUCAUCUUUUGCAAUCAGAUCUUUGAGUAGUCUUUUAUUCUUAAGUUCUUCAUAAUGCUGACGUAGCUUUUUUUCAUAGUGAUUUUUAUUUAGCUUUUGAAUGAAANNNNNNN